UACUGUUACCAAACUAAACUCACUAGAUACAAUCUAGAUGUCAAGAUCUGUGCUCGAUAUCCUCUUAUCUAAAAAAUUAUUCUCCUACGGAUCCAAAAUUAAUAUUAAAAUAAAAUCCAUAGUAUAGGAAUUAUCUAUCUAAAACUCUCUAUUAGGGUUUACUAAGUCCACCAAUAAAUCCUCUGGAUCCUUUUCCCCC
RNAcentral lists this long non-coding RNA (199 nucleotides) under Elaeis guineensis (African oil palm). RNAcentral describes it as "long non-coding RNA (EGUI_LNC036020)". Lineage: Eukaryota; Viridiplantae; Streptophyta; Magnoliopsida; Arecales; Arecaceae. The record is from RNAcentral.